This 1008-nucleotide long non-coding RNA is filed under the name Homo sapiens (human). RNAcentral's name for it is "HSALNT0111472". Lineage: Eukaryota; Metazoa; Chordata; Mammalia; Primates; Hominidae. The record is from RNAcentral.
GGGGUUUCACCAUGUUGGCCAGGAUGGUCUUGUGGCCUGACCUCAUGAUCCGCCCACCUGAGCCUCCCAAAGUGCUGGGAUUACAGGCAUGAGCCACCGUGCCCGGCCAGGAUCUAUUUUUUGUUUGUUUCGAGACAGGAUCUCACUUUGCUGCCCAAGCUGGAGUGCCACUCAGGUCGGAGGCAGGACUCAACUCCAGACCAGAUGGAAGACUGGCUAAAACAAGGAAGAAGUACCAAAAGCAUUCCUCCAUAAGACAUGCCUACCAGCACAAUGGCAGUUUACCAUUGCCAUGGCAAUACCCAGAAGUUACCACUGCUUUUCUGAAAAUUUCUAAAUAACCUGCCCCUUAAUUUGCAUGUGAUUAAAACUGGGUAUAAAUAUGACUGCAGAACUGCCCCUGAGCUGCUACUCUGGGCACACUGUCUAUGGGGUAGCCCUGUUCCGCAAGGAGCAGUACCUCUGCUGCUGCUAUACACUACCGCUUCAGUAAAAGCUGCUGUCUAACACCACCAGCUUGCCCUCGAAUUCUUUCCUGGGCAAAGACAAGAACUAUCCCAGGCUAAGCCCCAGUUUGGGGCUCAUCUGCUCUGCGUCAUCAAUGCCUGAUGGUAGUUCAUUGCAGCCUUGACCUCCUGGGCUCAAGCAAUUCUCCCACCUCAGACUCCCCAGUAGCUGGGAGUACAGGCACAUACCACCAUGCCUGGCUAAUUUUUAUUUUUAAUUUUUUUGUAGAGAUGGCAUUUCACUAUGUUGCCCAGGCUGAGGAUUCUUUAAUCUUGGAGACUUAAUGUUUCACAAGCAUGUGUCUGGGUGUGGGUAUUUUUAAUUCGUUUUGCUCUGUUAUUUUCUCUGAUAUUUACUUUCUUUCUCUCCAUGAUCAUUACUUUACUACUCAAUUUUGCAACUCUUUUGAGGACUCUCAUUUUUAUUUUUUGAAAUGUAUUUUUAUGGCCAGGUGCAGUGGUUCACGCCUGUAAUCCCAACACUUCAGGAGGCCAAGGCGGG